Molecule: ribosomal RNA, 551 nt
Filed under: uncultured Glomeromycotina
Lineage: Eukaryota; Fungi; Glomeromycota
Description: SSU rRNA
Rfam family: Eukaryotic small subunit ribosomal RNA
Source: RNAcentral
UUGGAGGGCAAGUCUGGUGCCAGCAGCCGCGGUAAUUCCAGCUCCAAUAGCGUAUAUUAAAGUUGUUGCAGUUAAAAAGCUCGUAGUUGAAUUUCGGAGUUUGUCGGUUGGUCGGGCUUCACUGUCCGCACUGGCCUGAUGGAUUCCUACCUUCUGAAUAACCAGCAUGCUAUUAAGUUAGUGCGUUGGGGAAGCAGAGCUAUUACCUUGAAAAAAUUAGAGUGCUUAAAGCAGGCUUUUGCUUGAAUAGAUUAGCAUGGAAUAAUAAAAUAGGACGGCAUGGUUCUAUUUUGUUGGUUUCUAGGAUCACCGUAAUGAUUAAUAGGGAUAGUUGGGGGCAUUAGUAUUCAAUUGUCAGAGGUGAAAUUCUUGGAUUUAUUGAAGACUAACUUCUGCGAAAGCAUUUGCCAAGGAUGUUUUCAUUAAUCAAGAACGAAAGUUAGGGGAUCGAAGACGAUCAGAUACCGUCGUAGUCUUAACCAUAAACUAUGCCGACUAGGGAUCGGACGAUGUUAAUUUUUUAAUGACUCGUUCGGCGCCUUACGGGAAAC